UAGAAAAUAAUAUAGUGGAAGUAUGAGGAGUUUUGAUCUCUUCUGUGCAGGUUCGAGUCCUGCUUUUCUAA
RNAcentral lists this transfer RNA (71 nucleotides) under Patagioenas fasciata (band-tailed pigeon). RNAcentral describes it as "tRNA-Gln". It matches the Rfam family "tRNA". Rfam says of the family: Transfer RNA (tRNA) molecules are approximately 80 nucleotides in length. Their secondary structure includes four short double-helical elements and three loops (D, anti-codon, and T loops). RNAcentral also lists the same sequence under 1 other name. Lineage: Eukaryota; Metazoa; Chordata; Aves; Columbiformes; Columbidae. The record is from RNAcentral.